CCUACGGGGGGCAGCAGUAGGGAAUAUUGCUCAAUGGGGGAAACCCUGAAGCAGCAACGCCGCGUGGAGGAUGAAGGUUUUCGGAUUGUAAACUUCUUUUGUUAGAGAAGAUAAUGACGGUAUCUAACGAAUAAGCACCGGCUAACUCCGUGCCAGCAGCCGCGGUAAUACGGAGGGUGCAAGCGUUACUCGGAAUCACUGGGCGUAAAGAGCGCGUAGGCGGGAUAGCAAGUCAGAUGUGAAAGCCUAUGGCUUAACCAGAGAACUGCAUUUGAAACUGUGAUUCUAGAGUAUGGGAGAGGUAGGUGGAAUUCUUGGUGUAGGGGUAAAAUGCGUAGAGAUCAGGAGGAAUACUCAUUGCGAAGGCGACCUGCUAGAACAUAACUGACGCUGAGGCGCGAAAGCGUGGGGAGCAAACAGGAUUAGAUACCCUUGUAGUC
RNAcentral lists this ribosomal RNA (440 nucleotides) under uncultured bacterium. RNAcentral's name for it is "partial 16S ribosomal RNA". It matches the Rfam family "Bacterial small subunit ribosomal RNA", at positions 338 to 795 of the family's 1533-position model. The record is from RNAcentral.